GUUAGUGAAAAGUAAUGGUGGGCGAAAGGUCUGCAUAAUUUGUGGGGGAAAAGGAACAAACUGAGCCAUUCUGGACCUGAGGCCAGGGGAUUGCUGAAAGGAAAGGGAAAUCUGUGCUUCCCUGAGAGUAGCUGAGCAUGUUGAGAGCAGAGACACUUCCACGGUGCAGGAUGAGACAAGUUGUAGCCCAGCAUCCUUGAAGGAGCAGACCCAGAGGAGCACAAAGGGGACUUUCCUGAGGCACACAGAGAGGACUGUGUUGGAGGAGAUUCAACUCGGAAGCCGUAAAAGUCACUUGCCUGAAAAGCGGGACUGGGAGAAAGGACUACCCUGCAAAGACUGA
This 343-nucleotide long non-coding RNA is filed under the name Struthio camelus australis. RNAcentral's name for it is "lncRNA (ENSSCUG00000009277.1)". The record is from RNAcentral. Lineage: Eukaryota; Metazoa; Chordata; Aves; Struthioniformes; Struthionidae.